GCGAGCAGGUGCAGCCAGACUGUGUGGGCACCAGGGACUCCCCCGUGCCCUAGUAGGUGAGGGGUGGCCUCCUUCGUCUGCACACCUGGGUGCCACUUCCAGCUUCUCACCAGACUUUCAUAUGGUUGCGGCCAACAGGAUGACACUUUCAUGCAUCUCAGGUUCAGAGAAGAGCCAAGGGUGAGCCAGGCUUCCAGCAGUAACUGCUCAGCCCCUCGGCAGCCUCCAGGGAAGGAAAGUGGUGAGAACCGGUGAGACCUUGGCCACUCCCCUACCUUCUUCAACCAAAACAAUUCCUUGUUUUUCCUUUUUUUUUUCCCCCUCAGGGUAAAAUGUUGGAAAGGGGAGUCCUGUGUCUAAAUAAAGCUGGAAACCAAGAGUGAAGGAGAUUGUGUUCUCUAGAACGGAAGAACGCUCUGAUUCCUGCUUCCUGGAGCUCGGAUGAGUUCGGUUUGCAGCGACUAAUGUAUACAAGUCUUGGUCAAAGAUGACGUUGGCCCAAAAUCACAUGGGGUCAAAGGAGACUGUAGCCCACAGCUGCCUCCCAGGCAAUGGACUUGGAAAGCCUGUGGAAAUGUGUUUUAACCAGCAAUUACACUCCACCUUGUUAAUCUUCAUCAAGCUGCCUGUAAACCAGCAGACAGAUGCAACUCCCCUGAGCACUGAGUCCCCUUCAGUGCCUGCAAGGUAAUCUUUCCCUUCAGUGUCUCUGGGAUCAUGGUCAAAAGUCUAGUUCUGUUUUCAGAAGAGAACACAAAUCACUUUUUGUUUAUGGCUCCAUAAACAAACAAACAAAACAUAUAUAUAUAUAUAUGUAUGAAAAGUUAUUAAC
RNAcentral lists this long non-coding RNA (832 nucleotides) under Felis catus (domestic cat). Its description in RNAcentral is "lncRNA (ENSFCAG00000040661.2)". Lineage: Eukaryota; Metazoa; Chordata; Mammalia; Carnivora; Felidae. The record is from RNAcentral.